Molecule: ribosomal RNA, 477 nt
Filed under: uncultured bacterium
Lineage: Bacteria
Description: partial 16S ribosomal RNA
Rfam family: Bacterial small subunit ribosomal RNA
Source: RNAcentral
GACGAACGCUGGCGGCGUGCUUAACACAUGCAAGUAGAACGGGCGAUAUUGGAAGCUUGCUGAAGAUAUCGUUAGUAGCGGACGGGUGAGUAAUGCAUGAGGACCUGCCUGCCGGAGGGGGACAACAGUUGGAAACGGCUGCUAAUACCCCGUACGCCGAGAGGUGAAAGGAAUGGAGACAUUCCGCCGGGAGAGGGACUCAUGUCCUAUCAGCUGGUUGGUGAGGUAACGGCUCACCAAGGCGACGACGGGUAGCCGGCCUGAGAGGGCGAACGGCCACACUGGAACUGAGAGACGGUCCAGACUCCUACGGGAGGCAGCAGUGGGGAAUAUUGGGCAAUGGGGGCAACCCUGACCCAGCGACGCCGCGUGAGGGAAGAAGGCCUUCGGGUCGUAAACUUCUUUUGUACGUGAAGAAGCAGAUGACGGUAGCGUACGAAUAAGUCCCGGCUAACUACGUGCCAGCCGCCGCCGUAA